GACGAACGCUGGCGGCGUGCUUAACACAUGCAAGUCGAACGGAAAGGCCCUGCUUUUGUGGGGUGCUCGAGUGGCGAACGGGUGAGUAACACGUGAGUAACCUGCCCUUGACUUUGGGAUAACUUCAGGAAACUGGGGCUAAUACCGGAUAGGAGCUCCUGCUGCAUGGUGGGGGUUGGAAAGUUUCGGCGGUUGGGGAUGGACUCGCGGCUUAUCAGCUUGUUGGUGGGGUUGUGGCUUACCAAGGCUUUGACGGGUAGCCGGCCUGAGAGGGUGACCGGCCACAUUGGGACUGAGAUACGGCCCAGACUCCUACGGGAGGCAGCGGUGGGGAAUAUUGCACAAUGGGCGGAAGCCUGAUGAAGCAACGCCGCGUGCGGGAUGACGGCCUUCGGGUUGUAAACCGCUUUCGCCUGUGACGAAGCGUGAGUGACGGUAAUGGGUAAAGAAGCACCGGCUAACUACGUG
RNAcentral lists this ribosomal RNA (468 nucleotides) under uncultured bacterium. RNAcentral describes it as "partial 16S ribosomal RNA". It matches the Rfam family "Bacterial small subunit ribosomal RNA", at positions 28 to 507 of the family's 1533-position model. The record is from RNAcentral.